GACGAACGCUGGCGGCGUGCCUAAUACAUGCAAGUAGAACGCACAGUUUAUACCGUAGCUUGCUACACCAUAGACUGUGAGUUGCGAACGGGUGAGUAACGCGUAGGUAACCUGCCUGGUAGCGGGGGAUAACUAUUGGAAACGAUAGCUAAUACCGCAUAAUAUUAAUUAUUGCAUGAUAAUUAAUUGAAAGGUGCAAUUGCACCACUACCAGAUGGACCUGCGUUGUAUUAGCUAGUAGGUGAGGUAACGGCUCACCUAGGCGACGAUACAUAGCCGACCUGAGAGGGUGAUCGGCCACACUGGGACUGAGACACGGCCCAGACUCCUACGGGAGGCAGCAGUAGGGAAUCUUCGGCAAUGGACGAAAGUCUGACCGAGCAACGCCGCGUGAGUGAAGAAGGUUUUCGGAACGUAAAGCUCUGUUGUAAGAGAAGAACGGGUGUGAGAGUGGAAAGUUCACACUGUGACGGUAUCUUACCAGAAAGGGACGGCUAACUACGU
RNAcentral lists this ribosomal RNA (504 nucleotides) under uncultured bacterium. Its description in RNAcentral is "partial 16S ribosomal RNA". It matches the Rfam family "Bacterial small subunit ribosomal RNA", at positions 28 to 506 of the family's 1533-position model. The record is from RNAcentral.